Molecule: ribosomal RNA, 901 nt
Filed under: Xanthomonas cucurbitae
Lineage: Bacteria; Pseudomonadati; Pseudomonadota; Gammaproteobacteria; Lysobacterales; Lysobacteraceae
Description: bacterial SSU rRNA
Rfam family: Bacterial small subunit ribosomal RNA
Source: RNAcentral
CGGGACACCUAAACGUGCAGUCGACGGCAGCACGAGAGAGCUUGCUCUCUUGGUGGCGAGUGGCGGACGGGUGAGUAAUACAUCGGAAUCUACCCUGUCGUGGGGGAUAACGUAGGGAAACUUACGCUAAUACCGCAUACGACCUACGGGUGAAAGCAGGGGAUCUUCGGACCUUGCGCGAUUGGAUGAGCCGAUGUCGGAUUAGCUAGUUGGCGGGGUAAAGGCCCACCAAGGCGACGAUCCGUAGCUGGUCUGAGAGGAUGAUCAGCCACACUGGAACUGAGACACGGUCCAGACUCCUACGGGAGGCAGCAGUGGGGAAUAUUGGACAAUGGGCGCAAGCCUGAUCCAGCCAUGCCGCGUGGGUGAAGAAGGCCUUCGGGUUGUAAAGCCCUUUUGUUGGGAAAGAAAAGCAUUCGGUUAAUACCCGAGUGUUCUGACGGUACCCAAAGAAUAAGCACCGGCUAACUUCGUGCCAGCAGCCGCGGUAAUACGAAGGGUGCAAGCGUUACUCGGAAUUACUGGGCGUAAAGCGUGCGUAGGUGGUUUGUUAAGUCUGAUGUGAAAGCCCUGGGCUCAACCUGGGAAUUGCAUUGGAUACUGGCAGGCUAGAGUGCGGUAGAGGGUAGUGGAAUUCCCGGUGUAGCAGUGAAAUGCGUAGAGAUCGGGAGGAACAUCCGUGGCGAAAGCGACUACCUGUACCAGCACUGACACUGAGGCACGAAAGCGUGGGGAGCAAACAGGAUUAGAUAUCCCUGUUAGUCCACUCCCUAAAUGAUGCGAACUGGAUGUUGGGUUCACUUUGUAACUCAUUAUCGAAGCUAACUCUUAAGUUCGCCGCCUGGGGAGGACGGUCGCGGGACUGAGACUUGAUUUUAUUGAUAGGUGCCCGCACCAGCUC